GACGAACGCUGGCGGCGUGCUUAACACAUGCAAGUCGAACGCUGAAGCUCAGCUUUUGUUGGGUGGAUGAGUGGCGAACGGGUGAGUAACACGUGAGUAACCUGCCCCCUUCUUUGGGAUAACGCCCGGAAACGGGUGCUAAUACUGGAUAUUCACUGGUCUUCGCAUGGGGGUUGGUGGAAAGGGUUUUUCUGGUGGGGGAUGGGCUCGCGGCCUAUCAGCUUGUUGGUGGGGUGAUGGCCUACCAAGGCUUUGACGGGUAGCCGGCCUGAGAGGGUGACCGGUCACAUUGGGACUGAGAUACGGCCCAAACUCCUACGGGAGGCAGCAGUGGGGAAUAUUGCACAAUGGGCGCAAGCCUGAUGCAGCGACGCCGCGUGAGGGAUGGAGGCCUUCGGGUUGUGAACCUCUUUCGCUCAUGGUCAAGCCGCAACAAUGGUUGUGGUGAGGGUAGUGGGUAAAGAAGCGCCGGCUAACUACGUG
Molecule: ribosomal RNA, 483 nt
Filed under: uncultured bacterium
Lineage: Bacteria
Description: partial 16S ribosomal RNA
Rfam family: Bacterial small subunit ribosomal RNA
Source: RNAcentral